UAGUGGCGGACGGGUGAGUAACGCGUGCCCUCAGGAGGGGGAUAACGGUUGGAAACGACCGCUAAUACCCCAUAUGCCGAGAGGUGAAACGAAAUUCGCCUGAGGAUGAGCCCGCGUCUGAUUAGCUAGUUGGUGGGGUAAAGGCCUACCAAGGCAUCGAUCAGUAGCUGGUCUGAGAGGAUGAUCAGCCACACUGGGACUGAGACACGGCCCAGACUCCUACGGGAGGCAGCAGUGGGGAAUUUUCCGCAAUGGGCGCAAGCCUGACGGAGCAACGCCGCGUGAGGGAUGAAGGCCUCUGGGCUGUAAACCUCUUUUCUCAAGGAAGAAGAACUGACGGUACUUGAGGAAUAAGCCACGGCUAA
This 365-nucleotide ribosomal RNA is filed under the name uncultured bacterium. RNAcentral describes it as "bacterial SSU rRNA". It matches the Rfam family "Bacterial small subunit ribosomal RNA", at positions 93 to 500 of the family's 1533-position model. The record is from RNAcentral.